CAGUCCUUGAAUCUGUAGGAUGAGUUGAGGGAUGCAGUGCUGCUUGUAUUCGCUAACAAGCAAGAUCUUCCAAAUGCAAUGAAUGCUGCUGAGAUCACUGACAAACUCGGUCUCCACUCUCUUCGUCAACGCCACUGGUACAUCCAAAGUACAUGUGCCACCUCUGGGGAAGGGCUCUAUGAGGGUCUUGACUGGCUGUCCAACAAUAUAGCAAACAAGGCUUAAAAUGAUGACAAAAACUUCGGCAGCCUCUUGUUUUGAAUGUGUCAAAGUGGAAUGUCCAUUAUCUUCUGUUUAUGAAUUUCUUAGUGUUACUAUUCUAAGAAUGUAUUUUGUUUAGAUAAUUACUACAAAGUGAUUGAUGCCGUUUGGCCCUGUAGAUUUAAAUAAUUCAAGAUUUUUAGUCUCCCUGCCAUUCCAUACAUUCUGUUGUGUUUAGAGUUCCAAUCAAUGGAUGGAUGUUGAAUAGUUACCA
Molecule: long non-coding RNA, 475 nt
Organism: Prunus dulcis (almond)
Lineage: Eukaryota; Viridiplantae; Streptophyta; Magnoliopsida; Rosales; Rosaceae
Exons: 3
Source: RefSeq, a predicted model, not a curated record